RNAcentral lists this ribosomal RNA (439 nucleotides) under uncultured bacterium. Its description in RNAcentral is "bacterial SSU rRNA". It matches the Rfam family "Bacterial small subunit ribosomal RNA", at positions 340 to 789 of the family's 1533-position model. The record is from RNAcentral.
UACGGAAGGCAGCAGUGGGGAAUAUUGGACAAUGGGCGAAAGCCUGAUCCAGCCAUGCCGCAUGAGUGAAGAAGGCCUUCGGGUUGUAAAGCUCUUUUAGUGAGAAAGAUAAUGACGGUACUCACAGAAGAAGUCCUGGCUAACUCCGUGCCAGCAGCCGCGGUAAUACGGAGAGGGCUAGCGUUAUUCGGAAUUAUUGGGCGUAAAGAGCGCGUUAGGCUGAUUAGUAAGUUAAAAGUGAAAUCCCAAAGCUUAACUUUGGAAUUGCUUUUUAAAACUGCUAGUCUAGAGAUUUGAAAGAGGAUAGAGGAAUUCCUAGUGUAGGAGGUGAAAUUCGUAAAUAUUAGGAGGAACACCAGUGGCGAAGGCGUCUAUCUGGUUCAAAUCUGACGCUGAGGCGCGAAGGGCGUGGGGAGCAAAACAGGGAUUAGAUACCCGU